AGCUUUGUAGUUUAGUUGAGAAUUUUUGUUUGUGGUGCAAAAGGAUGGGUGGGCUU
Molecule: transfer RNA, 56 nt
Filed under: Aspiculuris sp. PC-2022
Lineage: Eukaryota; Metazoa; Nematoda; Chromadorea; Rhabditida; Heteroxynematidae
Description: tRNA-His
Source: RNAcentral